UACAGAGGUGGCGAGCGUUGUUCGGAUUUACUGGGCGUAAAGCGUGCGUAGGCGGUUCCGUGUGUCGAGUGUGAAAUCCCUGGGCUCAACCCAGGAAGUGCGCUCGAAACUGCGGUUCUCGAGCGGAGUAGGGGAGAGCGGAAUUCAUGGUGUAGCGGUGAAAUGCGUUGAUAUCAUGAAGAACACCGGUGGCGAAGGCGGCUCUCUGGAAUCCUGCUGACGCUGAGGCACGAAAGUUGGGGGAGCAAACAGG
RNAcentral lists this ribosomal RNA (253 nucleotides) under uncultured bacterium. RNAcentral describes it as "partial 16S ribosomal RNA". It matches the Rfam family "Bacterial small subunit ribosomal RNA", at positions 524 to 776 of the family's 1533-position model. The record is from RNAcentral.